This 274-nucleotide ribosomal RNA is filed under the name uncultured bacterium. RNAcentral describes it as "partial 16S ribosomal RNA". It matches the Rfam family "Bacterial small subunit ribosomal RNA", at positions 523 to 796 of the family's 1533-position model. The record is from RNAcentral.
ACACGGGGGGCGCAAGCGUUAUUCGGAAUUAUUGGGCGUAAAGGGCGUGUAGGCGGUUUUAUCGGUCAGAUGUGAAAGCCCAGGGCUCAACCCUGGACGUGCAUUUGAAACAGUAAGACUUGAGUACGGUAGAGGAAAGCGGAAUUCCUGGUGUAGAGGUGAAAUUCGUAGAUAUCAGGAGGAACACCGAUGGCGAAGGCAGCUUUCUGGACCGAAACUGACGCUGAUGCGCGAAGGCGUGGGUAGCGAACAGGAUUAGAAACCCCGGUAGUCC